Heterocephalus glaber (naked mole-rat) is the source of this 879-nucleotide long non-coding RNA. Lineage: Eukaryota; Metazoa; Chordata; Mammalia; Rodentia; Bathyergidae. The record is from Ensembl.
CCCCUCCCCGCGGCAGCGCCCGGGCCUCGGCAGCUGCGGGCUCGGGGCUCCCGCCGGCCCGUGCCCCACCCCCUCCCGGGGUGUCCUGCUGUGGGCGCCGCCGCCCCCGCCCGGCUGGACUGAGGACUGCCCGCGGCCCAGAGCUUUGCCCCCGCCUGUGGGGUCGGUGACCCGGAGUUGGAGGGAGAGGGAGCGAGGGCUCGGGCGCGAAGGUUUGGCUGGAAUCGAGGGUGAACAGAGUCGACGGAUUCUGAUGCUGGAAUUCGUUUCUGCAGCUUGCAACCAAGAGUGUUCACUAAUAUACAAUGUGUCUUUACAUGAGCAUCCUGGGGCUGCCACUAGUAUAUGAACCAUCAAUAGUUUUACAAGUGUAAAGGAUCAGGAACCAGAAGUAACACAGUCUUUCAGGCACCAGAUGAGUAGGCGAUGCCAGGAGAAAAAAGGUGGGAAGAGACUUUGAGAAGACUUAGAGGAAGGAGAAAGUCCACAGCAUUUGUUAAGGGAACCUGGCCCUAUGUUUUCCUGGGAAUUUCUACUGGAGUACUACUUCUGGCUUCUUGUACCAUUGUUUGUCUUACUCAAGAGUUAGUUGACCAGUGAACUUAGUUAUAUUCAUUAGCUCAAAGUUCUUGACUGAGUCGAGCUAAUCUAGCAAAAAAUCCCUAAUUACUGUGAUUCAUUCUCUUUUUUCCGUUUCUGACCUAGACUUGGGUAGACAUACUUGGGUAAACGUGUUUGCUCUGUAGGCCAGUGUUCCCCUUUUGGUGGCCUAUUCUCAGGGUAGAUUCUUUAGGGGUUGAGAGUGAGCAGAAUGUUGCCAACCCCUUUGGGUUAUAUAGAUCAAGAACCCUUUAUUAGCCUAUCUGUAAUAAAGUUGAC